GCCAGGCAUGAUGGCAUGCGCCUGUAAUCCCAGCUACUUGGGAGGCUGAGACAGGAGAAUCACUGGAACCCGGGAGGCCUAGGUUGCAGUGAGCUGAGAUCAUGCCACUGCACUCCAGCCUGGGGGACAGAGUGAGACUCUGUCUCAA
This is a non-coding RNA of Nomascus leucogenys (northern white-cheeked gibbon), 148 nucleotides long. It matches the Rfam family "Metazoan signal recognition particle RNA". Rfam says of the family: The signal recognition particle (SRP) is a universally conserved ribonucleoprotein. It is involved in the co-translational targeting of proteins to membranes. The record is from Rfam. NCBI's taxonomy places the organism in Eukaryota, Metazoa, Chordata, Mammalia, Primates, Hylobatidae.